This 497-nucleotide ribosomal RNA is filed under the name uncultured bacterium. Its description in RNAcentral is "partial 16S ribosomal RNA". It matches the Rfam family "Bacterial small subunit ribosomal RNA", at positions 28 to 507 of the family's 1533-position model. The record is from RNAcentral.
GAUGAACGCUGGCGGCGUGCCUAAUACAUGCAAGUCGAGCGAACAGACGAGGAGCUUGCUCCUCUGACGUUAGCGGCGGACGGGUGAGUAACACGUGGAUAACCUACCUAUAAGACUGGGAUAACUUCGGGAAACCGGAGCUAAUACCGGAUAAUAUAUUGAACCGCAUGGUUCAAUAGUGAAAGACGGUUUUGCUGUCACUUAUAGAUGGAUCCGCGCCGCAUUAGCUAGUUGGUAAGGUAACGGCUUACCUAGGCAACGAUGCGUAGCCGACCUGAGAGGGUGAUCGGCCACACUGGAACUGAGACACGGUCCAGACUCCUACGGGAGGCAGCAGUAGGGAAUCUUCCGCAAUGGGCGAAAGCUUGACGGAGCAACGCCGCGUGAGUGAUGAAGGUCUUCGGAUCGUAAAACUCUGUUAUUAGGGAAGAACAAAUGUGUAAGUAACUAUGCACGUCUUGACGGUACCUAAUCAGAAAGCCACGGCUAACUACGUG